CGUUAAUCAUUAAAUUAAACACUUAUCAAUUAAGGGUAUGAAAACAUUUUCGGCUCAAAAUAAAGUCAUUCAAAACUCCAAAGAAAGAAAUAAAGACUCAACAUAUGAAACAAAAAUGAUAAAAACUACAUGUCCAGAACUUCAUGCAAUUAAUAUAAAAACUCAUAUUCCAAUGUCACAUCCUAUCAGAGUAUUGUAUCCUAGUGUCCUCUAGC
This 215-nucleotide long non-coding RNA is filed under the name Glycine max (soybean). Its description in RNAcentral is "long non-coding RNA (GMAX_LNC000963)". Lineage: Eukaryota; Viridiplantae; Streptophyta; Magnoliopsida; Fabales; Fabaceae. The record is from RNAcentral.